UACGGAGGGUGCGAGCGUUGUUCGGAAUCACUGGGCGUAAAGCGCGUGUAGGCGGCCCAUUAAGUCUGAUGUGAAAGCCCGGGGCUCACCCCCGGAAGUGCAUUGGAAACUGAUGGGCUGGAGUCCCGGAGAGGAGGGUGGAAUUCCUGGUGUAGCGGUGAAAUGCGUAGAUAUCAGGAGGAACACCGGUGGCGAAGGCGGCCCUCUGGACGGUGACUGACGCUGAGACGCGAAAGCGUGGGGAGCAAACAGG
This 253-nucleotide ribosomal RNA is filed under the name uncultured bacterium. RNAcentral describes it as "partial 16S ribosomal RNA". It matches the Rfam family "Bacterial small subunit ribosomal RNA", at positions 524 to 776 of the family's 1533-position model. RNAcentral also lists the same sequence under 1 other name. The record is from RNAcentral.